CAGCACCUCAAGUGGUCAGGAUGAUUAUUGGGCCUAAAGCAUCCGUAGCCGGCGCUGUAAGUUUUCGGUUAAAUCUGUACGCUCAACGUACAGGCUGCCGGGAAUACUGCAGCGCUAGGGAGUGGGAGAGGUAGACGGUACUCGGUAGGAAGGGGUAAAAUCCUUUGAUCUAUUGAUGACCACCUGUGGCGAAGGCGGUCAACCAGAACACGUCCGACGGUGAGGGAUGAAAGCUGGGGGAGCAAACCGGAUUAGAUACCCGAGUAGUCC
This 270-nucleotide ribosomal RNA is filed under the name uncultured archaeon. Its description in RNAcentral is "partial 16S ribosomal RNA". It matches the Rfam family "Archaeal small subunit ribosomal RNA", at positions 477 to 747 of the family's 1478-position model. The record is from RNAcentral.